This is a small nucleolar RNA of Lates calcarifer (barramundi perch), 84 nucleotides long. Lineage: Eukaryota; Metazoa; Chordata; Actinopteri; Centropomidae. The record is from Ensembl.
UGGAUCACUGAUGAUAUCUUGGCUCCCUCUACUGAACUCUAUGUGGAAGCCUGCCAUUGUUACCCAAUUUCUGUCUGAGAUGUG